RNAcentral lists this ribosomal RNA (423 nucleotides) under uncultured bacterium. Its description in RNAcentral is "partial 16S ribosomal RNA". It matches the Rfam family "Bacterial small subunit ribosomal RNA", at positions 360 to 775 of the family's 1533-position model. The record is from RNAcentral.
AAUCUUCCACAAUGGACGGAAGUCUGAUGGAGCAACGCCGCGUGAGCGAAGAAGGUAUUCGGAUCGUAAAGCUCUGUUGUAAGGGAAGAACACGUACGGAAGUCACUGCCCGUACCUUGACGAUACCUUAUCAGAACGCCACGGCUAACUACGAGACAUCAGCCGCGGUAAUACGUAGGUGGCAAGCGGUGUCCGGAAUUAUUGGGCGUAAAGCGCGCGCAGGCGGUCCUUUAAGUCUGAUGUGAAAGCCCACGGCUCAACCGUGGAGGGUCAUUGGAAACUGGAGGACUUGAGUACAGAAGAGGAAAGCGGAAUUCCACGUGUAGCGGUGAAAUGCGUAGAGAUGUGGAGGAACACCAGUGGCGAAGGCGGCUUUCUGGUCUGUAACUGACGCUGAGGCGCGAAAGCGUGGGGAGCAAACAG